GAUGAACGCUGGCGGCGUGCCUAAUACAUGCAAGUCGAACGCUGGAGAUCUAGCUUGCUAGAUCGAAGGAGUGGCGAACGGGUGAGUAAUACAUAAGCAACCUACCCACGAAGACUGGGAUAAUCUCUGGAAACGGGGACUAAUACCGGAUAGGUAAUCGGAAGGCAUCUUCUGAUUAUUAAAGGUUAAAAACACUGGUGGAUGGGCUUAUGGCGCAUUAGUUAGUUGGUGAGGUAACGGCCCACCAAGACGAUGAUGCGUAGCCGGCCUGAGAGGGUGAACGGCCACAUUGGGACUGAGACACGGCCCAGACUCCUACGGGAGGCAGCAGUAGGGAAUUUUCGGCAAUGGGGGAAACCCUGACCGAGCAACGCCGCGUGAGUGAUGACGGCCUUCGGGUUGUAAAGCUCUGUUGUAAGGGAAGAACGGUAGAUAGAGAAUAUCUAAGUGACGGUACCUUACCAGAAAGCCACGGCUAACUACGUGCCAGCAGCCGCGGUAAUACGUAGGUGGCGAGCGUUAUCCGGAAUUAUUGGGCGUAAAGGGUGCGUAGGCGGCCUGUUAAGUAAGUGGUUAAAUUGUUGGGCUCAACCCAAUCCAGCCACUUAAACUGGCAGGCUAGAGUAUUGGAGAGGCAAGUGGAAUUCCAUGUGUAGCGGUAAAAUGCGUAGAUAUAUGGAGGAACACCAGUGGCGAAGGCGGCUUUGCUAGCCAAAGACUGACGCUCAUGCACGAAAGCGUGGGGGAGCAAAUAGG
RNAcentral lists this ribosomal RNA (756 nucleotides) under uncultured Bulleidia sp. Its description in RNAcentral is "bacterial SSU rRNA". It matches the Rfam family "Bacterial small subunit ribosomal RNA", at positions 28 to 776 of the family's 1533-position model. The record is from RNAcentral. Lineage: Bacteria; Bacillati; Bacillota; Erysipelotrichia; Erysipelotrichales; Erysipelotrichaceae.